CCCUUAGAUGUUCUGGGCUGCACGCGCGCUACACUGAUGCGCUCAACGAGCUUAUAACCUUGGCCGAGAGGCCUGGGCAAUCUUGUUAACGUGCAUCGUGAUAGGGAUAGAUUAUUGAAAUUAUUAAUCUUGAACGAGGAAUUCCUAGUAAACGCAGAUCAUCAAUCUGCAUUGAUUACGUCCCUGCCCUUUGUACACACCGCCCGUCGCACCUACCGAUUGGAUGGUCCGGUGAAGCCUCGGGAUUGUGGUUCUUGCCGCUUUAUUGUGGCGUGACCGCGAGAACUUGUCUAAACCUUAUCAUCUAGAGGAAGGUGAAGUCGUAACA
Molecule: ribosomal RNA, 328 nt
Filed under: uncultured eukaryote
Lineage: Eukaryota
Description: partial 18S ribosomal RNA
Rfam family: Eukaryotic small subunit ribosomal RNA
Source: RNAcentral